GACGAACGCUGGCGGCGUGCUUAACACAUGCAAGUCGUACGGUAAGGCCCUUUCGGGGGUACACGAGUGGCGAACGGGUGAGUAACACGUCAGUAACCUUCCCACAACUUUGGGACAACGCUAGGAUACUGGUGCUAAUACUGGAUAUGUGCUCCUUCUGCAUGGUGGGGGUUGGAAAGCUCCGGCGGUUGUGGAUGGCCUCGCUGCCUAUCAGCUUGUUGGUGGGGUAGUGGCCUACCAAGGCGGCGACGGGUAGCCGGCCUGCGAGGGUGACCGGCCACAUUGGGACUGAGAUACGGCCCAGACUCCUACGGGAGGCAGCAGUGGGGAAUAUUGCACAAUGGGCGCAAGCCUGAUGCAGCAACGCCGCGUGCGGGAUGACGGCCUUCGGGUUGUAAACCGCUUUCAGCAGGGACGAAGCUUUUUGUGACGGUACCUGCAGAAGAAGCACCGGCUAACUACGUG
Molecule: ribosomal RNA, 465 nt
Filed under: uncultured bacterium
Lineage: Bacteria
Description: partial 16S ribosomal RNA
Rfam family: Bacterial small subunit ribosomal RNA
Source: RNAcentral